UGCUCUAAAUGCUUUGGUUUUUGAGUUAUAAGCCAAAAACUGCAUUUGACCCCUAUGUUCUAUUUUUAGCAAUGGCGGCCAUGUUUGUUGAUAGAUCAUAACUUCGGAUACAAUUUACAAACUAGAUACCCUAAGGAACAUUCAGUUAAAGUUUGGAAGUAUUUGGCCCAGUAGUUUCAGAGGAGAAGAUUUUUGUAAAAGAUUACUAAGAUUUACGAAAAAUGGUUAAAAAUUGACUAUAAAGGGCAAUAACUCCUAAAGGGGUCAACUGACCAUUUCCUUCAUGUUGACUUAUUUGUAAAUCUUACUUUGCUGAACAUUAUUGCUGUUUACAGUUUAUCUUUAUCUAUAAUAAUAUUCAAGAUAAUAACCAAAAACCGC
This 381-nucleotide long non-coding RNA is filed under the name Mytilus galloprovincialis (Mediterranean mussel). The record is from RNAcentral. Lineage: Eukaryota; Metazoa; Mollusca; Bivalvia; Mytilida; Mytilidae.